GGCGAACGCUGGCGGCGUGCUUAACACAUGCAAGUCGAACGGAAAGGCCCUGCUUGCCGGGUGCUCGAGUGGCGAACGGGUGAGUAACACGUGGGUGAUCUGCCCCUUAUUUUGGGAUAAGCCUGGGAAACUGGGUCUAAUACUGGAUAGGACCAUGCUGUAGGUGGUGUGGUGGAAAGAUUAGUUUCGGUAAGGGAUGAGCUCGCGGCCUAUCAGCUUGUUGGUGGGGUAAUGGCCUACCAAGGCGUCGACGGGUAGCCGGCCUGAGAGGGUGGACGGCCACAUUGGGACUGAGAUACGGCCCAGACUCCUACGGGAGGCAGCAGUGGGGAAUAUUGCACAAUGGGCGCAAGCCUGAUGCAGCGACGCCGCGUGGGGGAUGACGGCCUUCGGGUUGUAAACUCCUUGCAGCCAUGACGAAGCCCUUGUGGUGACGGUAGUGGUAGAAGAAGCACCGGCUAACUACGUG
This 469-nucleotide ribosomal RNA is filed under the name uncultured bacterium. RNAcentral's name for it is "partial 16S ribosomal RNA". It matches the Rfam family "Bacterial small subunit ribosomal RNA", at positions 28 to 507 of the family's 1533-position model. The record is from RNAcentral.